This 532-nucleotide ribosomal RNA is filed under the name uncultured Spongiobacter sp. Its description in RNAcentral is "bacterial SSU rRNA". It matches the Rfam family "Bacterial small subunit ribosomal RNA", at positions 9 to 532 of the family's 1533-position model. The record is from RNAcentral. Lineage: Bacteria; Pseudomonadati; Pseudomonadota; Gammaproteobacteria.
GAGUUUGAUCCUGGCUCAGAUUGAACGCUGGCGACAGGCCUAACACAUGCAAGUCGAGCGGUAACAGAACUAGCUUGCUAGUUGCUGACGAGCGGCGGACGGGUGCGUAACACGUAGGAAUCUGCCCAGUAGUGGGGGAUAGCCCGGAGAAAUUCGGAUUAAUACCGCAUACGCCCUAAGGGGGAAAGCAGGGGAUCUUCGGACCUUGCGCUACUGGAUGAGCCUGCGUCGGAUUAGCUUGUUGGUGGGGUAAAGGCCUACCAAGGCAACGAUCCGUAGCUGAUCUGAGAGGAUGAUCAGCCACACUGGGACUGAGACACGGCCCAGACUCCUACGGGAGGCAGCAGUGGGGAAUAUUGCACAAUGGGCGAAAGCCUGAUGCAGCCAUGCCGCGUGUGUGAAGAAGGCUCUAGGGUUGUAAAGCACUUUCAGCGAGGAGGAAAGGUUGACGAUUAAUACUCGUUAGCUGUGACGUUACUCGCAGAAGAAGCACCGGCUAACUCCGUGCCAGCAGCCGCGGUAAUAAGGGCGA